UUUAAUUAGAUACCAAAAUUCAUUACUCUAAAAAUCAAACUCCAGAAUUUAUAUUUCUCCGGCGAAGUUUGAGGUGAAUCUUUCGAUCUGAGAUCUUCAUCAACUUCUGGGAGAACCGCCGAAACGAUUAGCUUUUUGACUCACCGUACUCCACCGCUUUAGCCGGUAUAACCUCCGCCUUUGCAAGAAAAACCAAACCUGUAUCGACGAGACUCUCCUCCUAAUCGAAUCAUUUAAAGAGAAAUGGUAAGCAAUUGGUUGUGGUCCUCUCAAAUCAACCCAUGGGGAAGGGAUCGUUUAUGAUCGGUUGAUUUGUUAUGUCAUCGUUGCUUCGUCUCCGGUUCUCGACUCGUUGAGUUAGAACUAUCAUCAACAAUGGUGAUUUACGUAAGAAUUGAUGUGGCGAAUCAGCUUGGUUCCUUCCACCGGAAUAAAGGAAGGAUCAUCCGUCAAUGAAUAAAAAUUCAGGAACAAUUAUCGAGUUCAAGCAACGAUUUUGCAAGAAGAUGAAGAGAAAGUGGUGGUGGAGGAGUCAUUUAAAGCCGAGACAUUUACUGGACUUGGUGAUUAAGAUACUUCACAGAUUGUAUUGUUAUCGAAUCUAUGCAACGUUUUUUGUUCUUGAGACGAUUGCUAGAGUGCCUUAUUUUUGCCAGUACAUCUAUCUGUAGUUUCAGUUCCUUAUAAGUUUGUGGAAGUUACAUUUAAGAGAGUAUAAAGAGCUAGUCAUCAGGAUUUUGUAUUCUUUGUAAGACAGUAAGAUUGUGAAUGUCACUUGAGAUAUGUGAAAAAAAACAUUGACAUACUA
Camelina sativa (false flax) is the source of this 808-nucleotide non-coding RNA. The record is from RefSeq and is a predicted model, not a curated record. NCBI's taxonomy places the organism in Eukaryota, Viridiplantae, Streptophyta, Magnoliopsida, Brassicales, Brassicaceae.